This 496-nucleotide ribosomal RNA is filed under the name uncultured bacterium. RNAcentral describes it as "partial 16S ribosomal RNA". It matches the Rfam family "Bacterial small subunit ribosomal RNA", at positions 29 to 507 of the family's 1533-position model. The record is from RNAcentral.
AUGAACGCUGGCGGCGUGCCUAAUACCUGCAAGUCGCGCGAACGGACGAGAAGCUUGCUUCUCUGAUGUUAGCGGCGGACGGGUGAGUAACACGUGGAUAACCUACCUAUAAGACUGGGAUAACUUCGGGAAACCGGAGCUAAUACCGGAUGAUAUUUUGAACCGCAUGGUUCAAAAGUGAAAGACGGUCUUGCUGUCACUUAUAGAUGGAUCCGCGCUGCAUUAGCUAGUUGGUAAGGUAACGGCUUACCAAGGCAACGAUGCAUAGCCGACCUGAGAGGGUGAUCGGCCACACUGGAACUGAGACACGGUCCAGACUCCUACGGGAGGCAGCAGUAGGGAAUCUUCCGCAAUGGGCGAAAGCCUGACGGAGCAACGCCGCGUGAGUGAUGAAGGUCUUCGGAUCGUAAAACUCUGUUAUUAGGGAAGAACAUAUGUGUAAGUAACUGUGCACAUCUUGACGGUACCUAAUCAGAAAGCCACGGCUAACUACGUG